GACGAACGCUGGCGGCGUGCUUAACACAUGCAAGUCGAACGGAAAGGCCCUGCUUUUGUGGGGUGCUCGAGUGGCGAACGGGUGAGUAACACGUGAGUAACCUGCCCUAGACUUUGGGAUAACUUCAGGAAACUGGGGCUAAUACCGGAUAGGAGCUCCUGCUGCAUGGUGGGGGUUGGAAAGUUUCGGCGGUUGGGGAUGGACUCGCGGCUUAUCAGCUUGUUGGUGGGGUAGUGGCUUACCAAGGCUUUGACGGGUAGCCGGCCUGAGAGGGUGACCGGCCACAUUGGGACUGAGAUACGGCCCAGACUCCUACGGGAGGCAGCAGUGGGGAAUAUUGCACAAUGGGCGGAAGCCUGAUGCAGCAACGCCGCGUGCGGGAUGACGGCCUUCGGGUUGUAAACCGCCUUCGCCUGUGACGAAGCGUGAGUGACGGUAAUGGGUAAAGAAGCACCGGCUAACUACGUG
RNAcentral lists this ribosomal RNA (468 nucleotides) under uncultured bacterium. RNAcentral's name for it is "partial 16S ribosomal RNA". It matches the Rfam family "Bacterial small subunit ribosomal RNA", at positions 28 to 507 of the family's 1533-position model. The record is from RNAcentral.